GUACUGGUCAAGUCAUCAAAUCAGUCAAGCGGACAAGAAAGAGGGACUCAGAUCACUUGGAAUUAUGACAAUGUAUUGCAGGGAUACCUUUGAAAAUGGGGUGUCACAAGAAGCUGAACUUUGCAUCCCAGUUCUGAAACAUACAGCAACCUCAGGGAGACAGAUGCAUCACUAGGCAUUUUGGGGUGGUAGCAAGUUCAGUGACCUGCCAGAUUUCUUAGCAUUAACUUGAAAGAGAAGACACUUAUUUUAUUUGAUUUGAUUUCUACUAGUCAAAUGGGCACCUGGAUUAAGCAGACUCUCCCCCAGGCACCCUAGAGGCCUCUGACAUCCCUUAUGUCCAGCCCAGACACGGCCUUUCUGUGGCCUCAGCAUAUCUGCCCAGUCCAAUCGGCUAUAGCCAGAAGAAAAAGGGAGGAAGAUCCAAGAGAGGGAAGGAGACUUUCCCAGGAAGCAGCAGCCUGCUACUUUCCUGCUAACCAGGGCAGACGCUGGUCUGCAUCCCCCUAUCCAGGUGGCCCCUGCAGUCACGGCUUUUCUGCUUCUAGAAGCCAUCCCUGAGAACAUCAUGGCAGAACUCGAAACACAUUGCAUCAUACAAAAUGAAGUGGAGAAUUAAGGCCUCCCUAACCCCUGAGACACAACAAUACUGAAGAAAUUACCUGAGCCUUCAGCAACCACCAUCCUGAUCAAUCAGCAGCCAUCAACAUCAAGUUUAAUGAUAUCAACUUCUGCAUCCUGAAAGACUCAGAUACUUUGUUUUUACAAGUCUUACUUCAGAAAUGACCUGUUCCAUCUCUCAUGCUGCUACAGGUAAACUUGAAAUUCAAAUCGUUCAUCUGACACUUGGACUUAUCUGAAAAUUUACUACCAAACAAUCCAUUGGAGGACCCCAUAAUUAAUCCAGUUCCAUCAUUAUCACAUCUCUACUAAACAUAUCAUUAAACAGCUGAAACAAUGCUUUCAAGG
Pongo pygmaeus (Bornean orangutan) is the source of this 969-nucleotide long non-coding RNA. RefSeq lists it as uncharacterized. Lineage: Eukaryota; Metazoa; Chordata; Mammalia; Primates; Hominidae. The transcript is spliced from 6 exons. The record is from RefSeq and is a predicted model, not a curated record.